Molecule: long non-coding RNA, 531 nt
Organism: Neopsephotus bourkii (Bourke's parrot)
Lineage: Eukaryota; Metazoa; Chordata; Aves; Psittaciformes; Psittacidae
Exons: 3
Source: RefSeq, a predicted model, not a curated record
UUAUUUGGAUCUUAGUAAUUGUAUUAUUAGUGGGCAUUAUCUUUGCAGCAUCUCUGAGACAAAAUUAGGAUGGCAUCAUGAAGAACAAACAAACGUAAAUUCAGGGGGAACAACAAAGGCUCACCAUUACAAACUUCAAAUACAGCUAUGGCUACUUCUGCCUAGAUGUAGGAGCAGUAUUUCCAAAUUACAUACAAGAAGAUACCCAGAGAGUAGGGAUGCCUCCCACUAGACCAGGUUGCGCAAAGCCCCAUCCAACCUGGCCUUGGACACUUCCAAGGAUGGGGCAGCCACAGCUGAUGUGGGCAACCUGUGCCAGAGCCUCACCACUCUUAUGCCUUUUUUGGGGAAAAGUCAAAACGUGUCUUGGGAACAAGAUGUAGCCAGUAUCCAUGUGUGUAUAUAUAGUACAGAUUGUAACCUUGUUUGCAUAUGCUGAAUGUAACCAUAUAGAAAUACUCAGGCAAGCACUGACUAAUAUUCUAGCAGUUAGCUUUACAUAAUAAAGUCUGAAAUUGUUGGUUUCCCCAA